RNAcentral lists this ribosomal RNA (529 nucleotides) under uncultured Nitrososphaerota archaeon. RNAcentral describes it as "bacterial SSU rRNA". It matches the Rfam family "Archaeal small subunit ribosomal RNA", at positions 452 to 981 of the family's 1478-position model. Lineage: Archaea; Thermoproteati; Nitrososphaerota. The record is from RNAcentral.
CUGGUGUCAGCCGCCGCGGUAAUACCAGCACCUCGAGUGGUCAGGACGUUUAUUGGGCCUAAAGCAUCCGUAGCCGGCUCUGCAAGUCUUCGGUUAAAUCCACCUGCUCAACAGAUGGGCUGCUGGAGAUACUACAGAGCUAGGGAGUGGGAGAGGCAGACGGUAUUCAGUGGGUAGGGGUAAAAUCCUCUGAUCCAUUGAGGACCACCAGUGGCGAAGGCGGUCUGCCAGAACACGUUCGACGGUGAGGGAUGAAAGCUGGGGGAGCAAACCGGAUUAGAUACCCGGGUAGUCCCAGCUGUAAACGAUGCAAACUCGGUGAUGCAUUGGCUUAUGGCCAAUGCAGUGCCGCAGGGAAGCCGUUAAGUUUGCCGCCUGGGAGGUACGGACGCAAGUCUGAAACUUAAAGGAAUUGGCGGGGGAGCACCACAAGGGGUGAAGCCUGCGGUUCAAUUGGAGUCAACGCCAGGAAUCUUACCCGGGGAGACAGCAGAAUGAAGGUCAAGCUGAAGACUUUACCAGACAAGCU